This 74-nucleotide transfer RNA is filed under the name Pteropus alecto (black flying fox). It matches the Rfam family "tRNA". Rfam says of the family: Transfer RNA (tRNA) molecules are approximately 80 nucleotides in length. Their secondary structure includes four short double-helical elements and three loops (D, anti-codon, and T loops). Further hydrogen bonds mediate the characteristic L-shaped molecular structure. tRNAs have two regions of fundamental functional importance: the anti-codon, which is responsible for specific mRNA codon recognition, and the 3' end, to which the tRNAs corresponding amino acid is attached (by aminoacyl-tRNA synthetases). tRNAs cope with the degeneracy of the genetic code in two manners: having more than one tRNA (with a specific anti-codon) for a particular amino acid; and 'wobble' base-pairing, i.e. permitting non-standard base-pairing at the 3rd anti-codon position. RNAcentral also lists the same sequence under 1 other name. The record is from Rfam by way of RNAcentral. Lineage: Eukaryota; Metazoa; Chordata; Mammalia; Chiroptera; Pteropodidae.
GGCUCCAUAGUGUAGUGGUUAUCACAUCUGUUUUAUACGCAGAAGUUCCUAGGUUCGCGCCCUAGGUGGAGCCA